GACGAACGCUGGCGGCGUGCUUAACACAUGCAAGUCACGGGGGGCCCGCAAGGGUCAACCGGCGAACGGGUGCGUAACACGUGAGCGACCUGCCCAAUUGCGGGGGAUAGCCGGCCCAACGGCCGGGUAAUACCGCAUACGCUUCCCUGGGGGCAUUCUUGGGGAAGGAAACCUACGGGGCGAUUGGAGGGGCUCGCGGCCUAUCAGCUAGUUGGCGAGGUAACGGCUCACCAAGGCGAUGACGGGUAGCUGGUCUGAGAGGAUGGCCAGCCACAUUGGGACUGAGAGACGGCCCAGACUCCUACGGGAGGCAGCAGUGGGGAAUCUUGCGCAAUGGCCGAAAGGCUGACGCAGCGACGCCGCGUGGAGGAUGACGCCCUUCGGGU
Molecule: ribosomal RNA, 386 nt
Filed under: uncultured bacterium
Lineage: Bacteria
Description: bacterial SSU rRNA
Rfam family: Bacterial small subunit ribosomal RNA
Source: RNAcentral